CCGAGCCCCUGUGCCGCCCCCAG
RNAcentral lists this microRNA (23 nucleotides) under Bos taurus (domestic cattle). RNAcentral describes it as "bta-miR-1225-3p". The record is from miRBase by way of RNAcentral. Lineage: Eukaryota; Metazoa; Chordata; Mammalia; Artiodactyla; Bovidae.